UAUUUACAUGUGAUUCCUUUUUUAAAUGGCCAUCAUGGGUAUAGGGCGUAUUCACCCACGUGACCCCUAUCCAUAACAACAAGCUUUGGCGGCCAUCUUGGGGUCCAUGUACGGCAUUGUUUUGCUGUGUUUUAUUUCGCUCUGACCAUCAUAUUCUGAAGGAGACACAAUUUCAGUGCCUUGUAAUUAUGGUACUGUGCCUCAUUGUUGGAUGUGGGACUAGGACGGGUAAAGCGCACACACACCGCGAAAAGGUUAGGUUAUUUCGCGUCCCGCGUGUGAUAACUAACCAGGGGGAACAUGUGGAUAGACUAACAUCUACUCGGCGCAGACAAUGGAUUUCUGCCAUAAUUAGAGCGAAUCUGACAGCGGAGAAGUUGGAGAAUGAACGUGUGUGUGGUAGCUUCAAAAGUUCUUGCUGCUCCUGAGGAACAAGACAACGCUACUACUGGUACCAAAGAAACAUGGACAACUUCACAUCAUCCAGAAAACCAGACUCCAUCCAGUUGUACGGAACUCACAGGGCAUGGGGGGACGUACAUCUGACAAGCACCUUACAGCAAACUGCAGUCUGUUGGAAAGACUGAAACCUGGUAACUUAGUCAUGGCUGAUCGUGGUUUCACAAUUUAAGAGAGCCUUGCCCUACGCCAAGUGAAACUGGCCAUUCCUACAUUCACUCGUGGUAGCAAACAGCUUGACCCAGUUGAAAUUGAGCACACAAGAGGAAUUGCCAAUGUGAGGAUACAUGUUUAACGUGUGAUUGGACAGUUGAAACAGAAGUACAAGAUGUUACAGGAAACCUUGGAGAUUGAUUAUGUCAGCCUUACUGGUGGUUCCACAGAACCGAUGGUAGACAGAAUUAUCAGAGUAUGUGCUGUGUUAACAAACAUGUGCCCAUCAGUUGUACCCUUAACUUGAAUUGCAGAUGUCUCAACCAUUACAUGAUAAGGACACUGUUUUUUAUUUGAUA
Molecule: long non-coding RNA, 971 nt
Organism: Clupea harengus (Atlantic herring)
Lineage: Eukaryota; Metazoa; Chordata; Actinopteri; Clupeiformes; Clupeidae
Exons: 2
Source: RefSeq, a predicted model, not a curated record